RNAcentral lists this ribosomal RNA (431 nucleotides) under uncultured Sphingomonadaceae bacterium. RNAcentral describes it as "bacterial SSU rRNA". It matches the Rfam family "Bacterial small subunit ribosomal RNA", at positions 29 to 505 of the family's 1533-position model. Lineage: Bacteria; Pseudomonadati; Pseudomonadota; Alphaproteobacteria; Sphingomonadales; Sphingomonadaceae. The record is from RNAcentral.
AACGAACGCUGGCGGCAUGCCUAACACAUGCAAGUCGAACGAUCUCUUCGGAGAUAGUGGCGCACGGGUGCGUAACGCGUGGGUAUCUGCCCUAGGGUGCGGAAUAACAGUUAGAAAUGACUGCUAAUACCGCAUAAUGUCUUCGGACCAAAGAUUCAUCGCCCUUGGAUGAGCCCGCGUAAGAUUAGCUAGUUGGUGGGGUAAAGGCCUACCAAGGCGACGAUCUUUAGCUGGUCUGAGAGGAUGAUCAGCCACACUGGGACUGAGACACGGCCCAGACUCCUACGGGAGGCAGCAGUGGGGAAUAUUGGACAAUGGGGGAAACCCUGAUCCAGCAAUGCCGCGUGAGUGAUGAAGGCCUUAGGGUUGUAAAGCUCUUUUACCAGGGAUGAUAAUGACAGUACCUGGAGAAUAAGCUCCGGCUAACUCCG